Long non-coding RNA from Branchiostoma belcheri (Belcher's lancelet), 158 nucleotides. RefSeq lists it as uncharacterized. The transcript is spliced from 3 exons. Lineage: Eukaryota; Metazoa; Chordata; Leptocardii; Amphioxiformes; Branchiostomatidae. The record is from RefSeq and is a predicted model, not a curated record.
GAAACCGAGGCCUUUUCGGGCGGCCUUUUAUGAAAUGCCGCAGCACAAAAGGCUUCCCAAGAUGCUUGCUGAAGUCUGACCAUCUGAGACUACCAUAAGUCUACGCUUUGUCUUCGUCGAUCAAGUCAGCAGCCAAGAAGGAUAUACAUGUACCAUUA